RNAcentral lists this ribosomal RNA (503 nucleotides) under Acinetobacter baumannii Naval-17. Its description in RNAcentral is "bacterial SSU rRNA". It matches the Rfam family "Bacterial small subunit ribosomal RNA", at positions 738 to 1241 of the family's 1533-position model. The record is from RNAcentral. Lineage: Bacteria; Pseudomonadati; Pseudomonadota; Gammaproteobacteria; Moraxellales; Moraxellaceae.
UACUGACGCUGAGGUGCGAAAGCAUGGGGAGCAAACAGGAUUAGAUACCCUGGUAGUCCAUGCCGUAAACGAUGUCUACUAGCCGUUGGGGCCUUUGAGGCUUUAGUGGCGCAGCUAACGCGAUAAGUAGACCGCCUGGGGAGUACGGUCGCAAGACUAAAACUCAAAUGAAUUGACGGGGGCCCGCACAAGCGGUGGAGCAUGUGGUUUAAUUCGAUGCAACGCGAAGAACCUUACCUGGCCUUGACAUACUAGAAACUUUCCAGAGAUGGAUUGGUGCCUUCGGGAAUCUAGAUACAGGUGCUGCAUGGCUGUCGUCAGCUCGUGUCGUGAGAUGUUGGGUUAAGUCCCGCAACGAGCGCAACCCUUUUCCUUACUUGCCAGCAUUUCGGAUGGGAACUUUAAGGAUACUGCCAGUGACAAACUGGAGGAAGGCGGGGACGACGUCAAGUCAUCAUGGCCCUUACGGCCAGGGCUACACACGUGCUACAAUGGUCGGUACA